This 493-nucleotide ribosomal RNA is filed under the name Rhodococcus (subgen. Prescottella) equi. RNAcentral's name for it is "Prescottella equi bacterial SSU rRNA". It matches the Rfam family "Bacterial small subunit ribosomal RNA", at positions 77 to 585 of the family's 1533-position model. The record is from RNAcentral. Lineage: Bacteria; Bacillati; Actinomycetota; Actinomycetes; Mycobacteriales; Nocardiaceae.
CCUUCGGGGGUACACGAGUGGCGAACGGGUGAGUAACACGUGGGUGAUCUGCCCUGCACUCUGGGAUAAGCCUGGGAAACUGGGUCUAAUACCGGAUAUGAGCUCCUGUCGCAUGGCGGGGGUUGGAAAGGUUUACUGGUGCAGGAUGGGCCCGCGGCCUAUCAGCUUGUUGGUGGGGUAAUGGCCUACCAAGGCGACGACGGGUAGCCGGCCUGAGAGGGCGACCGGCCACACUGGGACUGAGACACGGCCCAGACUCCUACGGGAGGCAGCAGUGGGGAAUAUUGCACAAUGGGCGAAAGCCUGAUGCAGCGACGCCGCGUGAGGGAUGACGGCCUUCGGGUUGUAAACCUCUUUCAGCAGGGACGAAGCGAGAGUGACGGUACCUGCAGAAGAAGCACCGGCCAACUACGUGCCAGCAGCCGCGGUAAUACGUAGGGUGCGAGCGUUGUCCGGAAUUACUGGGCGUAAAGAGCUCGUAGGCGGUUUGUCG